GAUGAAGAACGUAGCGAAAUGCGAUAAGUAAUGUGAAUUGCAGAAUUCAGUGAAUCAUCGAAUCUUUGAACGCACAUUGCGCCCGCCAGUAUUCUGGCGGGCAUGCCUGUUCGAGCGUCAUUACAACCCUCAGGCCCCCGGGCCUGGCGUUGGGGAUCGGCGGAGCCCCCCGUGGGCACACGCCGUCCCCCAAAUGCAGUGGCGGUCCCGCCGCAGCUUCCAUCGCGUAGUAGCUAACACCUCGCGACUGGAGAGCGGCGCGGCCACGCCGUAAAACACCCAACUCUUCUGAAGUUGACCUCGAAUUAGGUAGGAAUACCCGCUGAACUUAAGCAUAUCAAUAAGCGGAGGA
This 352-nucleotide unclassified non-coding RNA is filed under the name soil metagenome. RNAcentral describes it as "partial contains 5.8S ribosomal RNA, internal transcribed spacer 2, and large subunit ribosomal RNA". The stretch from base 1 to 120 matches the Rfam family "5.8S ribosomal RNA", at positions 35 to 154 of the family's 154-position model. The record is from RNAcentral.